RNAcentral lists this small RNA (510 nucleotides) under Pongo abelii (Sumatran orangutan). RNAcentral's name for it is "processed transcript". The record is from RNAcentral. Lineage: Eukaryota; Metazoa; Chordata; Mammalia; Primates; Hominidae.
GCUUGGUUCCUUUUCUCUCAGAGGAUUUGGAAGGUCUUCCCCGCACAAUCGAAGGAGCAGUUUGAGACACAGGGGUGAAAGCUGGGGACAGCAUUAGAGGGACCCACAUUACUUAGAGCUACUGGUUUCCCCCCAGAUAAAAACCCAGGUGUCAUUUCUGCGUGAGCAGUGAGUGACGAGGAGAAUUCGCUUGCAGCCUCUCAGCUACGCUGUGCCUUUAGAGUCCCUCUAGCCACGGCCCCUGUGUUGCCGCUUGCCCCUGGAUACCUGACUGAUGAAGACAGGCUCUGGGGCUCGUCGUUGAAGGUGCUGUGGACCCAGGGGUGCUGUACUUCCGUUGUUCUGUUCAUUGCAACAUUCAUCUCCUGCCUGUUUACAAAAAUGAAACAAUUAUCCUAUUCUUCCAAAUGGAAAUUGCUAAUUUUUGAAGCAGAAGGUUGACAGCUUCAGUAAGAUUUCAAGAGAGCGAGAAGACUGGAAUCAGGGAGCCCUACUCUGGAAGCUGUCAGU